RNAcentral lists this ribosomal RNA (456 nucleotides) under uncultured bacterium. RNAcentral describes it as "SSU rRNA". It matches the Rfam family "Bacterial small subunit ribosomal RNA", at positions 26 to 518 of the family's 1533-position model. The record is from RNAcentral.
AGAACGAACGCUGGCGGCAUGCCUAACACAUGCAAGUCGAACGUGAUCCAUGACUUCGGUUGUGGUGAAAGUGGCAAACGGGUGAGUAACGCGUGGGAAUCUGCCCAGAGGUAGGGAAUAACCGCGGGAAACUGCGGCUAAUACCCUAUGUGCCCUACGGGGCAAAGAUUUAUCGCCUUUGGAGGAGCCCGCGUCGGAUUAGGUAGUUGGUAGGGUAACGGCCUACCAAGCCUACGAUCCGUAGCUGGUCUGAGAGGAUGAUCAGCCACACUGGGACUGAGAUACGGCCCAGACUCCUACGGGAGGCAGCAGUGGGAAUAUUGGACAAUGGGGGCAACCCUGAUCCAGCAAUGCCGCGUGAGUGAUGAAGGCCUUCGGGUUGUAAAGCUCUUUCGGCGGGGAAGAUGAUGACGGUACCCGCAGAAGAAGCCCGGCUAACUUCGUGCCAGCAGCCGC